This 459-nucleotide ribosomal RNA is filed under the name uncultured Porphyromonas sp. RNAcentral's name for it is "bacterial SSU rRNA". It matches the Rfam family "Bacterial small subunit ribosomal RNA", at positions 339 to 795 of the family's 1533-position model. Lineage: Bacteria; Pseudomonadati; Bacteroidota; Bacteroidia; Bacteroidales; Porphyromonadaceae. The record is from RNAcentral.
CUACGGGUGGCUGCAGUGAGGAAUAUUGGUCAAUGGGCGAGAGCCUGAACCAGCCAAGUCGCGUGAAGGAUGACUGUCUUAUGGAUUGUAAACUUCUUUUGUAGGGGAAUAAAGACUGGCACGUGUGCUGGAGUGAAUGUACCCUACGAAUAAGCAUCGGCUAACUCCGUGCCAGCAGCCGCGGUAAUACGGAGGAUGCGAGCGUUAUCCGGAUUUAUUGGGUUUAAAGGGUGCGUAGGCGGCCUGUUAAGUCAGCGGUGAAAUCUAGGGGCUUAACUCCUAAAUUGCCAUUGAUACUGGUGGGCUUGAGUGUAGAUGAGGUAGGCGGAAUGCGUGGUGUAGCGGUGGAAUGCAUAGAUAUCACGCAGAACUCCAAUUGCGAAGGCAGCUUACUAAGGUACAACUGACGCUGAAGCACGAAAGCGUGGGUAUCAAACAGGAUUAGAUACCCGUGUAGUC